UACGUAGGCAGCAAGCGUUGUUCGGAAUUACUGGGCGUAAAGAGUGUGUAGGCGGUGCUCUAAGUUCGGUGUGAAAUCUCCCGGCUUAACUGGGAGGGUGCGCCGGAAACUGGAGUGCUUGAGCGCGGGAGAGGAAAGCGGAAUUCCUGGUGUAGCGGUGAAAUGCGUAGAUAUCAGGAGGAACACCUGUGGUGUAGACGGCUUUCUGGACCGUAGCUGACGCUGAGACACGAAAGCGUGGGGAGCAAACAGG
This 253-nucleotide ribosomal RNA is filed under the name uncultured bacterium. Its description in RNAcentral is "partial 16S ribosomal RNA". It matches the Rfam family "Bacterial small subunit ribosomal RNA", at positions 524 to 776 of the family's 1533-position model. The record is from RNAcentral.